UACGAGGGGGGCAAGCGUUGUUCGGAAUUACUGGGCGUAAAGCGCACGUAGGCGGAUUGUUUAGUCAGGGGUGAAAUCCCGAGGCUCAACCUCAGAACUGCCUUUGAUACUGGCAAUCUCGAGUCCGGAAGAGGUGAGUGGAAUUCCUAGUGUAGAGGUGAAAUUCGUAGAUAUUAGGAAGAACACCAGUGGCGAAGGCGGCUCACUGGUCCGGUACUGACGCUGAGGUGCGAAAGCGUGGGGAGCAAACAGG
Molecule: ribosomal RNA, 253 nt
Filed under: uncultured bacterium
Lineage: Bacteria
Description: partial 16S ribosomal RNA
Rfam family: Bacterial small subunit ribosomal RNA
Source: RNAcentral